GGGGCGGGCAGCCAGGGGCCCAGAAGAGCGCGAGCGGGCAGAGCGGCGGGGGAGGGGGCGGGCCCCCGGGGCUCCAAUCCUCUGCCUCAUUCCCAGCCCUAGGCUACUCACCUGGGCCUACUUCGCCCCCAGAGGUGAAGCUGGAGGAGCGGGGUCUGCCUUGGUCGCAGGGGCCCGGGAGGCUGGCGGGGUGUUUUUCCAGCAACAGACACCUGGGAGCCUCGAUGCCUGGUCAGCCCGGGACCCCGUCGGGCAGGCAGCCGGUUGCAGGGGGACUGCCUGUACCGUUGCAAGCUGCCCCCUGACAAGGGGUGUGGGGGUGCCCGUUUUAUUCGGGAGGCUGCUGGGGUGAUCCCGGCUGUCCCGAAUCUCCACCGGUUUCCAGGGCCUCGGGCUGGCUGACAGGCAGAGCGGAGGGAUCUGGGAGCCUUGCAAGACCUGACUGCGGCGUGCUGACCGUGGUACCCUCAAUGAGCGGCACCUGGGAGCCUGGUUUGCUGCAGAAACCCGGGCCUUCCAAACAAAGCUGCAAGAGCUCCGUGUUCGUCUAUGUGGAUGUGGAGGUAUGUGACAGAUAAGGUAUUAUUGCCAAAAUUAAUUUGUAAAAGGGCUCUGUUUAAUGGGCUUAAAGAAAAUUGAGCAUUUACAUACACUUAGUAUUCAUAAAAAUUCUCAAAAAUAAAAUAGAAACUAAAUCCAAAUGAAUUUCCAGUUCACAUGAUCUGGGAAAAUAUUUGAUAGUAAGACAAAUUUAAGGUUGUGGGUUUAAUUAAAAGUUUUCCAUCUUCAGAGUUAUGAGCCUUAGAAUUAAACUCAUUGGACUUUCAGUAAACCCAGGAAAAAUAAAAGUUUUAUGUUAUCUAGGUUCCAGAAUUUCUCAACACCACCACCACAGCUGGAGAGAAUGGUGGACUUUGCUGGACAGACAGCUCGUGCAGUUUUCGUGGCUGAUGGACACGUGGCUGUUGAGAGCGCAUUACCUGAAUAGGUAGGUAGAAAUAAUUCCCCUCCAUAUUUUUGGUAACCUGAAACAUUGACAUUUUGCUAAGUGAUGAGUUAAAUCUGUCGAAAGCCUAGGAGACAGAGCAGGGACUAGACUCGGGCCCCCCGCUCCAACCCCCAGCUCCAGUAUCCCGGAUCGGCAGCGCCCCCGAGUGGUGGGGCUCCCAGGAAAGCCAGAACGCUGUGCCCUUGGACGGCACAUCCUGCAGGCGAUGGAGGGACUCUGAAGGCUGGUGAAGACGGGACCAAACCAGCCUGUGCCAAGAUGGAGCCCGGUGCCCCACUCUACCUACCUCCCCCCGGUUCUCCUAGUAAAUCACGCCCAGGGGUCGAACAUGCCAACGAGACACGUGAUGUAUGCAGAAGCACGUUCUGGGCACUGUGCCCCCGGCCUCUCCCUGCCCCCACGUGCUCAGGCGUCACCCUUUCCCUGGCCUAGGACACUGGCGCUCUGUGCUGGCUCCCUGGUCCCUGGUGCUCGGGCGUCAGCCCCAGAGAAGCCGUGUCUGGAAUUCCUGCUGGGCGUCUACUGCUUGGAGAGCCCGAGGACCUAGCUGUGCACCUAGGUCACUCCAAAUAAGGUGGUUAUCGUGUUAUUCUGAAGCUUUUGCACAAGUGCCCCCUCCUCAAGGGGACUCAGGUGAGGACAGACCCAGACUCCGAGAUACGGAUCUCCAAUAAUUGAAGACCUUUGACCUGCGUGCAGAUUCACAGAACUCUGAGGGAGAACCCGCUGGCUUCAGGAAACCAUGACAAAGAGCAAGAGCGACCACAGUUCCUUACCUGGGCC
Long non-coding RNA from Zalophus californianus (California sea lion), 1792 nucleotides. RefSeq lists it as uncharacterized. The record is from RefSeq and is a predicted model, not a curated record. Lineage: Eukaryota; Metazoa; Chordata; Mammalia; Carnivora; Otariidae. The transcript is spliced from 4 exons.